RNAcentral lists this ribosomal RNA (529 nucleotides) under Oceanicaulis sp. RNAcentral describes it as "bacterial SSU rRNA". It matches the Rfam family "Bacterial small subunit ribosomal RNA", at positions 86 to 650 of the family's 1533-position model. Lineage: Bacteria; Pseudomonadati; Pseudomonadota; Alphaproteobacteria; Maricaulales; Maricaulaceae. The record is from RNAcentral.
UCGGGGUGAGCGGCAGACGGGUGAGUAACGCGUGGGAACGUGCCCUUUGGUUCGGAAUAGCCCUUGGAAACGAGGAGUAAUGCCGAAUGUGCCCUUCGGGGGAAAGAUUUAUCGCCAAAGGAUCGGCCCGCGUUAGAUUAGCUAGUUGGUGAGGUAAUGGCUCACCAAGGCGACGAUCUAUAGCUGGUCUGAGAGGAUGAUCAGCCACACUGGGACUGAGACACGGCCCAGACUCCUACGGGAGGCAGCAGUGGGGAAUCUUGGACAAUGGGCGCAAGCCUGAUCCAGCCAUUCCGCGUGGAUGAUGAAGGCCCUAGGGUUGUAAAAUCCUUUCGGCAGGGAAGAUAAUGACGGUACCUGCUAAAGAAGCCCCGGCUAACUCCGUGCCAGCAGCCGCGGUAAUACGGAGGGGGCUAGCGUUGUUCGGAAUUACUGGGCGUAAAGCGCGCGUAGGCGGAUCGAUCAGUCAGAGGUGAAAUCCCGGAGCUCAACUUCGGAACUGCCUUUGAUACUGUCGAUCUGGAGUCCG